RNAcentral lists this ribosomal RNA (557 nucleotides) under Escherichia coli. RNAcentral's name for it is "bacterial SSU rRNA". It matches the Rfam family "Bacterial small subunit ribosomal RNA", at positions 1 to 547 of the family's 1533-position model. Lineage: Bacteria; Pseudomonadati; Pseudomonadota; Gammaproteobacteria; Enterobacterales; Enterobacteriaceae. The record is from RNAcentral.
AAAUUGAAGAGUUUGAUCAUGGCUCAGAUUGAACGCUGGCGGCAGGCCUAACACAUGCAAGUCGAACGGUAACAGAAAGCAGCUUGCUGCUUUGCUGACGAGUGGCGGACGGGUGAGUAAUGUCUGGGAAACUGCCUGAUGGAGGGGGAUAACUACUGGAAACGGUAGCUAAUACCGCAUAACGUCGCAAGACCAAAGAGGGGGACCUUAGGGCCUCUUGCCAUCGGAUGUGCCCAGAUGGGAUUAGCUAGUAGGUGGGGUAAAGGCUCACCUAGGCGACGAUCCCUAGCUGGUCUGAGAGGAUGACCAGCCACACUGGAACUGAGACACGGUCCAGACUCCUACGGGAGGCAGCAGUGGGGAAUAUUGCACAAUGGGCGCAAGCCUGAUGCAGCCAUGCCGCGUGUAUGAAGAAGGCCUUCGGGUUGUAAAGUACUUUCAGCGGGGAGGAAGGGAGUAAAGUUAAUACCUUUGCUCAUUGACGUUACCCGCAGAAGAAGCACCGGCUAACUCCGUGCCAGCAGCCGCGGUAAUACGGAGGGUGCAAGCGUUAAUCG